Molecule: ribosomal RNA, 2900 nt
Filed under: Escherichia coli
Lineage: Bacteria; Pseudomonadati; Pseudomonadota; Gammaproteobacteria; Enterobacterales; Enterobacteriaceae
Description: bacterial LSU rRNA
Rfam family: Bacterial large subunit ribosomal RNA
Source: RNAcentral
UUAAGCGACUAAGCGUACACGGUGGAUGCCCUGGCAGUCAGAGGCGAUGAAGGACGUGCUAAUCUGCGAUAAGCGUCGGUAAGGUGAUAUGAACCGUUAUAACCGGCGAUUUCCGAAUGGGGAAACCCAGUGUGAUUCGUCACACUAUCAUUAACUGAAUCCAUAGGUUAAUGAGGCGAACCGGGGGAACUGAAACAUCUAAGUACCCCGAGGAAAAGAAAUCAACCGAGAUUCCCCCAGUAGCGGCGAGCGAACGGGGAGGAGCCCAGAGCCUGAAUCAGUGUGUGUGUUAGUGGAAGCGUCUGGAAAGGCGUGCGAUACAGGGUGACAGCCCCGUACACAAAAAUGCACAUACUGUGAGCUCGAUGAGUAGGGCGGGACACGUGGUAUCCUGUCUGAAUAUGGGGGGACCAUCCUCCAAGGCUAAAUACUCCUGACUGACCGAUAGUGAACCAGUACCGUGAGGGAAAGGCGAAAAGAACCCCGGCGAGGGGAGUGAAAAAGAACCUGAAACCGUGUACGUACAAGCAGUGGGAGCCUCUUAAUGGGGUGACUGCGUACCUUUUGUAUAAUGGGUCAGCGACUUAUAUUCUGUAGCAAGGUUAACCGAAUAGGGGAGCCGAAGGGAAACCGAGUCUUAACUGGGCGUUAAGUUGCAGGGUAUAGACCCGAAACCCGGUGAUCUAGCCAUGGGCAGGUUGAAGGUUGGGUAACACUAACUGGAGGACCGAACCGACUAAUGUUGAAAAAUUAGCGGAUGACUUGUGGCUGGGGGUGAAAGGCCAAUCAAACCGGGAGAUAGCUGGUUCUCCCCGAAAGCUAUUUAGGUAGCGCCUCGUGAAUUCAUCUCCGGGGGUAGAGCACUGUUUCGGCAAGGGGGUCAUCCCGACUUACCAACCCGAUGCAAACUGCGAAUACCGGAGAAUGUUAUCACGGGAGACACACGGCGGGUGCUAACGUCCGUCGUGAAGAGGGAAACAACCCAGACCGCCAGCUAAGGUCCCAAAGUCAUGGUUAAGUGGGAAACGAUGUGGGAAGGCCCAGACAGCCAGGAUGUUGGCUUAGAAGCAGCCAUCAUUUAAAGAAAGCGUAAUAGCUCACUGGUCGAGUCGGCCUGCGCGGAAGAUGUAACGGGGCUAAACCAUGCACCGAAGCUGCGGCAGCGACACUAUGUGUUGUUGGGUAGGGGAGCGUUCUGUAAGCCUGUGAAGGUGUACUGUGAGGUAUGCUGGAGGUAUCAGAAGUGCGAAUGCUGACAUAAGUAACGAUAAAGCGGGUGAAAAGCCCGCUCGCCGGAAGACCAAGGGUUCCUGUCCAACGUUAAUCGGGGCAGGGUGAGUCGACCCCUAAGGCGAGGCCGAAAGGCGUAGUCGAUGGGAAACAGGUUAAUAUUCCUGUACUUGGUGUUACUGCGAAGGGGGGACGGAGAAGGCUAUGUUGGCCGGGCGACGGUUGUCCCGGUUUAAGCGUGUAGGCUGGUUUUCCAGGCAAAUCCGGAAAAUCAAGGCUGAGGCGUGAUGACGAGGCACUACGGUGCUGAAGCAACAAAUGCCCUGCUUCCAGGAAAAGCCUCUAAGCAUCAGGUAACAUCAAAUCGUACCCCAAACCGACACAGGUGGUCAGGUAGAGAAUACCAAGGCGCUUGAGAGAACUCGGGUGAAGGAACUAGGCAAAAUGGUGCCGUAACUUCGGGAGAAGGCACGCUGAUAUGUAGGUGAAGUCCCUCGCGGAUGGAGCUGAAAUCAGUCGAAGAUACCAGCUGGCUGCAACUGUUUAUUAAAAACACAGCACUGUGCAAACACGAAAGUGGACGUAUACGGUGUGACGCCUGCCCGGUGCCGGAAGGUUAAUUGAUGGGGUUAGCGUAAGCGAAGCUCUUGAUCGAAGCCCCGGUAAACGGCGGCCGUAACUAUAACGGUCCUAAGGUAGCGAAAUUCCUUGUCGGGUAAGUUCCGACCUGCACGAAUGGCGUAAUGAUGGCCAGGCUGUCUCCACCCGAGACUCAGUGAAAUUGAACUCGCUGUGAAGAUGCAGUGUACCCGCGGCAAGACGGAAAGACCCCGUGAACCUUUACUAUAGCUUGACACUGAACAUUGAGCCUUGAUGUGUAGGAUAGGUGGGAGGCUUUGAAGUGUGGACGCCAGUCUGCAUGGAGCCGGCCUUGAAAUACCACCCUUUAAUGUUUGAUGUUCUAACGUUGGCCCCUGACCGGGGUUGCGGACAGUGUCUGGUGGGUAGUUUGACUGGGGCGGUCUCCUCCUAAAGAGUAACGGAGGAGCACGAAGGUUGGCUAAUCCUGGUCGGACAUCAGGAGGUUAGUGCAAUGGCAUAAGCCAGCUUGACUGCGAGCGUGACGGCGCGAGCAGGUGCGAAAGCAGGUCAUAGUGAUCCGGUGGUUCUGAAUGGAAGGGCCAUCGCUCAACGGAUAAAAGGUACUCCGGGGAUAACAGGCUGAUACCGCCCAAGAGUUCAUAUCGACGGCGGUGUUUGGCACCUCGAUGUCGGCUCAUCACAUCCUGGGGCUGAAGUAGGUCCCAAGGGUAUGGCUGUUCGCCAUUUAAAGUGGUACGCGAGCUGGGUUUAGAACGUCGUGAGACAGUUCGGUCCCUAUCUGCCGUGGGCGCUGGAGAACUGAGGGGGGCUGCUCCUAGUACGAGAGGACCGGAGUGGACGCAUCACUGGUGUUCGGGUUGUCAUGCCAAUGGCACUGCCCGGUAGCUAAAUGCGGAAGAGAUAAGUGCUGAAAGCAUCUAAGCACGAAACUUGCCCCGAGAUGAGUUCUCCCUGACUCCUUGAGAGUCCUGAAGGAACGUUGAAGACGACGACGUUGAUAGGCCGGGUGUGUAAGCGCAGCGAUGCGUUGAGCUAACCGGUACUAAUGAACCGUGAGGCUUAACCUU